Cannabis sativa is the source of this 110-nucleotide small nucleolar RNA. RefSeq annotates it as small nucleolar RNA Z43. Lineage: Eukaryota; Viridiplantae; Streptophyta; Magnoliopsida; Rosales; Cannabaceae. The record is from RefSeq and is a predicted model, not a curated record. The transcript has a single exon.
GGACGGUGACGAUUUUGAUAUUAAGGUCUCGUUCGUCGUAAUGGGCUGUGUAAUUAUACAUACAGUCCUUGCCGACCAUUCUGAUAUAUCACCACCCAUAUUCUGAGUCC